GUGGCUGUGUGGUAAGUAGCUUGUUUACCAACCACAUGUGGUGUUUCAAAUUCCUCUGCUGUGUAUUGGGCAAUUUCCUCCUACCAUAUCAUUAGGUUGAUCAAUAUUUGUGAGAGGAACUUGGUCCAUGGGAACUUGGCAGAAUCCAGUUGUGUGUGUGUAAUAUAUAUAUAUAUAUAUAUAUAUAUAUAUAUAUAUAUGAUACUACACAUUGUAUUUUAAACUAAUACUGCUUCUUUCAUGCGUGAUGAAAUAUAUACACGUUUGCUAACUUGUCCUGUCUAUGUUGUCCUUUUCUUGUGCUCAUUGCCUUAUUAAUAUAUGUACAUAUAUGUUAAAAGGCAGACGUUACAGCAAUAGAUUGCUUUGAGCUGUUUGUUUCAACUAUGUUGUCUGAGGUACACUAUCUAGUUUCCAGUCAUAGUUUGAUGGGCAACUGACUUGACUCUGCUUAUACCAUGAAUGUCAUUCACUCUCUCAUUCCUUUGUUAGUUUUAUUUGAGGCCUUCUAUUUAAAUAAUAAAGAAAAAAACUACUCUGUGCAUACAUUCAUACACAAAUUAUCCAUAGGAGAGCUCAUAUAUGGAAGCAUACCAUACUAAAAAUUUCAGUCAAAUCUCUUAUUACCAUUUUGAAAGAUAAAAAAAAAGGGGCGUGUUGGACAAUAUAAAAGGUACACAAUGUCUAUGAAAAAAUGGUUAAAGCUGGAAUGCUUUUGGUUACAGGUUUGCUUACACAGGACUGAUUUGGGGAUUAAACAACCGCUCUGUACACUGUUUGUGUGUUUACUUUCACCAGAUAAUACUGGAGCAUUAAGCAAGAUUUUUCCAACAAUUCAAAUCGCAUCUCUACAGAUCACUGGUUUAGCUUGAGCUAACAAGGAAGCUACUACCUGCCAGAAAUAACAGCCAAGUCUCCAUCAUACCACAAUUUGCUGUCUUAAAGAAGGAAAGACAUUGAAUGAUGAUGUAGUUCUAGAUGUAUUAAGCCAAGGAAAAAAAAGAUUGAAUAGCCAGUCUGGAAUACCUUUUGAUCAUAAGUCUUUGUGAUCAGGUCUGACCUUGGGUUAAACAACAUUUUCUCUAGUUGGAUUUUGUUGCUGAGUUUUUAUCAGUUUUCCUCUUCUUUCACAGAAUUCUUUCCUGUAAAACUGUUUACAGAGAGCUUCUACUGUUGAUGUUUAGAACUCAAGACAACUGUAGUGAAAGGCAUUCUAGCCAUGGCCAUCAUAUCAAGAAUACAUUAUCUGAUUUGUCCUUCCUUUAUUGAGAUGCUUAUGUGAGAUCUGAAGGAGAUUGUACUAGCUGGUUGGGUUAUUGCAUAACCUCUCACUACAUGGUGUAUCAACUUUGUUUCUUCUCUACAUGGUAAUAUUCUGUAUAUCUACCAUGCCUGCUCUUCUCACUUGUAUGCAAUAUGUAGGUGUAUGUAUGUGUUGGUGGUGGUGGUAUACUCCCAACAAGCUGAGUCUGUUGCACUGGUUUUAUUUCUGGUUAAACAAAUUUCACUUCUGUUACUCUGUAAAUGCAUGAUUUCUGGCUGCUGACAGUGGAGAGAGAUGGCGGUAAGAACAGGGAUCUGCACGAUUGAUUUGGCCUCUGACAGACUAAACAAUGCAAAGCCAGUGAUCUAUUAAAGAUUGAGUAUUUUCAUCAUG
RNAcentral lists this long non-coding RNA (1657 nucleotides) under Octopus sinensis (East Asian common octopus). Its description in RNAcentral is "uncharacterized LOC118765393". Lineage: Eukaryota; Metazoa; Mollusca; Cephalopoda; Octopoda; Octopodidae. The record is from RNAcentral.